GCCGCGGUGGCGGAAUUGGCAGACGCACAGGACUUAGGAUCCUGUAGGUUAAUAAACCUGUGGGAGUUCGACCCUCCCCCGCGGCACCA
RNAcentral lists this transfer RNA (89 nucleotides) under Candidatus Cloacimonadota bacterium. RNAcentral's name for it is "tRNA-Leu". It matches the Rfam family "tRNA". Rfam says of the family: Transfer RNA (tRNA) molecules are approximately 80 nucleotides in length. The record is from RNAcentral. Lineage: Bacteria; Pseudomonadati; Candidatus Cloacimonadota.